CGCAACUGACGCUGAAGCUCGAAAGUGCGGGUAUCGAACAGGAUUAGAUACCCUGGUAGUCCGCACGGUAAACGAUGGAUGCCCGCUUUUCGGUCAUUAGACCGUGAGGCCAAGUGAAAACAUUAAGCAUCCCACCUGGGGAGUACGCCGGCAACGGUGAAACUCAAAGGAAUUGACGGGGGCCCGCACAAGCGGAGGAACAUGUGGUUUAAUUCGAUGAUACGCGAGGAACCUUACCCGGGCCUGAAUUGCAGAUGAAGGAUCCAGAGAUGGUGACGCCCUUCGGGGCAUCUGUGAAGGUGCUGCAUGGUUGUCGUCAGCUCGUGCCGUGAGGUGUCGGCUCAAGUGCCAUAACGAGCGCAACCCCUUUCUUCAGUUGCCAUCAGGCUAUGCUGGGCACUCUGGAGAUACUGCCACCGCAAGGUGUGAGGAAGGUGGGGAUGACGUCAAAUCAGCACGGCCUUGACGUCCGGGGCUACACACGUGUUACAAUGGGGGGUACAGAAAGCCGGCUGCCCGCAAGGUCAGUCCAAUCAAGAAAGCCUCCCUCAGUUCGGACUGGGGUCUGCAACCCGACCCCACGAAGCUGGAUUCGCUAGUA
RNAcentral lists this ribosomal RNA (601 nucleotides) under uncultured bacterium. RNAcentral's name for it is "bacterial SSU rRNA". It matches the Rfam family "Bacterial small subunit ribosomal RNA", at positions 735 to 1340 of the family's 1533-position model. The record is from RNAcentral.